UCAUUUUACUCCGCUGCCAUGCACAAGUGUUACAGUAAUGACCCACCCAAGUCAUUAAAAAACGUAGUUGCAUCAGGACCCAACCAAACACUUAUUCGAUUACAAAUUCCUCAAUGUGAGAUUGUGCCACCUGCUUUAGAACCUGCAUCAUUUUCUUGCAUGGAUCAUAAUUUUUUUUUUCUCACCUAGCUUGCCAUUUCUUGUAUAUUAUUGCUGCUCACUUGGACAUAUGACAGCAUGACUUAGCAGUGUUAUCUGAAGCAAUAAUGAAGGAAUAGAUAAUGGGCUCUCAAUUGUAAAACAGCAAUGGAGUAGUACAAGACAAUGUUAUUGUGAAUGGCGCCCCUUAUACGUAGGCAUGCCUGCUUGAGGGUUAAACCUAAACAACAGAGCAAUCUUUUAUUUAUAUGCAAACUGAGCAGUUGUCAGACACCAGACAGUGUUAUUGCACCAACUUUUGAAAUGUACAUCAGUACACAUUCCUAUUCCAUUUAUGUAUAAUCAACAAUGUUUCACCAUAUACUUCAAAAUGUGGUGCAUUACAAAUAAUUACUAAAUUAAUACAUACAUCUUGGCAAAAAGGUAUAUGAAGAGAUUUGUUAAAUACAGGACAAAAGUCUUACAAAAAUUUGCCAUUCACAUAUGAAAUUAUUUUGUAUCUCAUUCAUGACUAUUUUCAAUUGAGAAAAUCCACACACUUAUUAUAUCUGAUUUAAGAAUGGUCAACGUGAACACACAAACAAAGCUAAUAUGCAGACUUUCACAGAUGGUUAUGUACACGAAGUUUGAAACAAAUUUAUGGUCAACGAUUUCUAAUACAAGAUCCUCCCAAAUAAAAUCUGUGGGCUCCCAAACACAUCAAAUGUUUACAUAUUCACUUCUGACAUCCAUAGACGAUAGCAAGAGAUUUUAAAAUACACUGAGUACUGACAGCAUUAUGUCAGAUGGACCUUGCACACAAUGGAACAACAUGUUUGAACACCAAGUGUUUGUGACUAUGCUACCCAGAGAAAUUAGCUACCCAGUUGAACACGCAUGGACAUAAAAUUGCAUUUAAUGACACUUAUAAUGAAGCCUAAUGGUUUCUAGAAACUGCAACAGAAGUAGUUAUUGAUAUAGAAAUAUAUAACCAUCAAUAAAGACAAUGGUUUGCAGCUGAAUACACCAUGGACACAGCCACCGUAAGGUUACAACAGGUGUGGCAGGCACAGGAUAAAAACAAAGCUUUGUAUGACGAUGAACUGUGAGUAUUUGUGAUGUGACAUCUGAUGCGAUGGCUAUACAAAACAAGGCAAGCAACCUCACAGUCAGCUGCCAUUUAACAAUGGCUGAGGAGCAUUGUUGAAAGCUCAUGGAUGUACAGGCACUUGAUGCUGCUGGAAGCAUUAGAAGAUAUUGCGGCGAGAUCGUGCAUUCUGAUAAAUGUGUGACCAAUUUAACAACACAAACAUCACAGAUAGCUGUGUAUCCCUUUUCCAACACACUAGUAAUCAUAUGAUAUGCUGAGAGAUUCCAGACUGAGUACGAUGUACACAAAUAUGAACAGCUUGUAUUAGCUUGCUAGAUACAGCAUAAGAAAGAAUUUCUUUUCUCUGACGUAAUUUUUAAAAUUGUUACUGUUCCAAAAACAGGAUAUUUAGAGGUUCAAGCACAGGUAGACAAAGAUGACGACGUGAGUUGGCUUAUGACUUGUUGAAGGGAU
Molecule: long non-coding RNA, 1702 nt
Organism: Schistocerca cancellata (South American locust)
Lineage: Eukaryota; Metazoa; Arthropoda; Insecta; Orthoptera; Acrididae
Exons: 2
Source: RefSeq, a predicted model, not a curated record